Molecule: ribosomal RNA, 406 nt
Filed under: uncultured bacterium
Lineage: Bacteria
Description: partial 16S ribosomal RNA
Rfam family: Bacterial small subunit ribosomal RNA
Source: RNAcentral
AUUGAACGCUGGCGGCAGGCUUAACACAUGCAAGUCGAGCGAGCGGCGGACGGGUGAGUAAUGUCUGUGAAACUGCCUGAUGGAGGGGGAUACCUACUGGAAACGGUAGCUAAUCCCGCAUACCAUCAGAUGUGCCCAGAUGGGAUUGGCUAGUAGGUGGGGUAAUGGCUCACCUAGGCGACGAGCCCUAGCUGGUCUGAGAGGAGGACAAGCCACACUGGAACUGAGACACGGUCCAGACUCCUACGGGAGGCAGCAGUGGGGAAUAUUGCACAAUGGGCGCAAGCAUGAUGCAGCCAUGCCGCGUGUGUGAAGAAGGCCUUCGGGUUGUAAAGCACUUUCAGCGAGGAGGCGGUACCCGCAGAAGAAGCACCGGCUAACUCCGUGCCAGCAGCCGCGGUAAUUC